UAGAAAUUUCUGAGACAGCUGAGCAGCAGAAGACCUACCUGUGACACUGACCACAGCUGGAAUUUGGAACUGAAAAACAGAAACUGAUUCAAAUGAACUGGCUCAGCUAGUCGGUGCUGCUAGAAAACAGCAGUGCACAUUUCAGAGACGCACACACUCCUUCUAAUUGCAAAGCUUGCACAUUGUGAUGACAGGAAGUUCCCUUUAGUUUGGUUUACAGGAUGUCUUCAGCAAACCACACACUUCACUUUGCACAUGCAAAAAGGGCUCAGUAUCAUCCCUACUGCAAACUCAGUAACACACAAAGUGCCUGUCCUUGUGCUACAGCUUGCUCCCACAGCACUGCUUCCCUAUCAGGAUCGGAAGCACUACUUUGCACACAGAGUGGCUUAAGAGACACAGACCUGGCUGCCUUUCCCUGAACACAGAAGCGUCUCUCAGUCAACACACAGAACUUGCUGUUAACGAGAAUUUCAGAAGCAGGAAUGACACUACUGAAGAGUACUGGGGUUUUGUCAAUGAAGAAGAGAAAGGAACACAAGUGUCUGCUAAACCCACCCAAGUAAGGGGUGAAUACCAGCUCAAAGUGCCACCAAGUUUCUCCAUCCCUCCAUUACCUGAAAGAGAUUAGUAUGGAUGAAGACCAUGGAAAGAAGAUUGGGAGUGGCUUUAUGUCUCCUGAAUGUCUCCCUGCUUCAACAUGGAAAACAUUUAUGAAGACUUUGAUGAUCUCAUAAGGAUGAAAGGCAAGCUGAUUUUUAUUUAUGUAACUGUAGCAUUGAUUCUCAGUCUAUUAGAAUAAUGUCUUUAUGAUGUCUUUUACCUAAUUCGGGGGGGGGGAGGAAUAAGAAACGUAACUGUUAAUCUCAGUUCUCCUCCUACUACCACAGGCUAUUAAAAUUGAGUUCUAGAAAAUGAUUUUGAACUUCAUUAAUCCCAGGUUGUUCAUUGCAGAAGUUCUGAGCAGAAUACAUGUGGUAGGAGUUACACUUAAUGUACAACCCUAAUGGGACCCACAGUUCUCAGUAAUUCCUCCCUGUGCUUUCAAAAGUGUAGAAACAUCAAUUGAGCAAUGCUG
This 1078-nucleotide long non-coding RNA is filed under the name Gallus gallus (chicken). RNAcentral describes it as "lncRNA (ENSGALG00010006954.1)". The record is from RNAcentral. Lineage: Eukaryota; Metazoa; Chordata; Aves; Galliformes; Phasianidae.